AGAGUGAACGCUGGCGGCGUGCCUAAUACAUGCAAGUCGAACGCGAAAGUCCUUCGGGAUGAGUAAAGUGGCGCACGGGUGAGUAAUGGUUGAGAACAUGCCCUGAGGUGGGGAAUAACAGUUGGAAACGACUGCUAAUACCGCAUGGUAACGCAAGUUUAAAGGUGGGGAUCGCAAGACCUACCGCCACAGGAUUGGCUCAACUCCCAUUAGCUAGUUGGUAGGUAACGCCUACCAAGGCGACGAUGGGUAACUGGUCUUAGAGGAUGAUCAGUCACACUGGAACUGAGACACGGUCCAGACUCCACGGGAGCAGCAGUAGGGAA
RNAcentral lists this ribosomal RNA (326 nucleotides) under uncultured soil bacterium. Its description in RNAcentral is "bacterial SSU rRNA". It matches the Rfam family "Bacterial small subunit ribosomal RNA", at positions 26 to 361 of the family's 1533-position model. The record is from RNAcentral.